Molecule: long non-coding RNA, 607 nt
Organism: Camelina sativa (false flax)
Lineage: Eukaryota; Viridiplantae; Streptophyta; Magnoliopsida; Brassicales; Brassicaceae
Source: RefSeq, a predicted model, not a curated record
CCCAACUCUCUCACUAUCUCUCUUCACCACUAAAGGAUUCUGCGUGUUGCAUGUUGUGAUCCUCUUCCUCUUAGCAGCAAAAGCUUAGACUCUUUAAGGGUCUCCUUCUUCUCUCUUCUUCGAUGUUACAGGCAGAACAUCUCUAGGAAGCUGAAGCUGAAAGGUUGUAUGCGAAUGUUGCAUGAGGGGAUAAAGAUGAGAUUUGGCGUUGUUACUGACUGGUGACUGGUGAACGAGAAUGUAAUGAUUCAUAAGGAAAUGUUCUUACAAUGACCUCACUGUCCUAAGAUGUUUUGGAUAGAAAGGAGAAUUAUUGGACCAUUUUGGAUUGCUACCGGACGUGAUGGGAUGAAGUCAGGAGUUCAAGACCGAUCAGUCCUUACUUACGAGCAUUUGGUCCCCAUUCUUUCAGAAAAAAUAUCUUUAUAUUGAUCCAGGACGACAAGAGAAGCCUGGACAGAUCGUUCCCAUACCCGAUACAUUUUUUUUAAACUGGCUUUUUAGGAUUUUAUCUUGAUAUUUAAGUAGAGCCUCGAUUUCUAAAGAUAAAACUUUUAUUCGAGACGACUUUUCUGCUAUAUGUAAGUUUGGGGAGACAAUUUUUACU